GGCUCGUUGGUCUAGGGGUAUGAUUUUCGCUCAGGGUGCGAGAGGUCCCGGGUUCAAUUCCCGGACGAGCCC
RNAcentral lists this transfer RNA (72 nucleotides) under Manduca sexta (tobacco hornworm). RNAcentral's name for it is "tRNA-Pro". It matches the Rfam family "tRNA". From Rfam's summary of the family: Transfer RNA (tRNA) molecules are approximately 80 nucleotides in length. Their secondary structure includes four short double-helical elements and three loops (D, anti-codon, and T loops). Lineage: Eukaryota; Metazoa; Arthropoda; Insecta; Lepidoptera; Sphingidae. The record is from RNAcentral.